This 433-nucleotide ribosomal RNA is filed under the name uncultured bacterium. RNAcentral describes it as "partial 16S ribosomal RNA". It matches the Rfam family "Bacterial small subunit ribosomal RNA", at positions 29 to 507 of the family's 1533-position model. The record is from RNAcentral.
AACGAACGCUGGCGGCAGGCCUAACACAUGCAAGUCGAGCGGACCCUUCGGGGUUAGCGGCGGACGGGUGAGUAAGCCGUGGGAAGGUGCCCUUUGCUUCGAAAUAGCCCUGGGAAACUGGUAGUAUUACGGGAUACGCCCUUUUGGGGAAAGAUUUAUCGGAGAAGGAUCGGCCCGCGUUGGAUUAGGUAGUUGGUGGGGUAAUGGCCUACCAAGCCGACGAUCCAUAGCUGGUUUGAGAGGAUGAUCAGCCACACUGGGACUGAGACACGGCCCAGACUCCUACGGGAGGCAGCAGUGGGGAAUCUUAGACAAUGGGGGAAACCCUGAUCUAGCCAUGCCGCGUGAGCGAUGAAGGCCUUAGGGUUGUAAAGCUCUUUCACCGGGGAAGAUAAUGACGGUACCCGGAGAAGAAGCCCCGGCUAACUCCGUG